RNAcentral lists this small RNA (373 nucleotides) under Arabidopsis thaliana (thale cress). RNAcentral's name for it is "ATSL152150". Lineage: Eukaryota; Viridiplantae; Streptophyta; Magnoliopsida; Brassicales; Brassicaceae. The record is from RNAcentral.
GUGCCAAUGGGGAUCUCGAAGAUUGAAAUGACCGAAAUGUCUUCUCUAAGCACAAGAAAGGGAUCCAUAUUUUUUUUUGAUGUACCCUAUCGGCUGAUUUGGUUAGCUUUGUUAGGAAUGCACCGAAGUGUUAUAGAGUAGACUUCUCUCGAUACAGGUAGAAUUGAGCUACCAUACAGUCUGAUCCGAAUUUAUAAUGCUUUCCGACUAAUUAUAAGGGAUUGUAAGGCCGCCUACAUUUCUAACUAUCAUGUAAACCAGUUGGACAAAGACCCAAGUGACAGACUUCCCAAACAAAUGUAUUUUUGUUUUUAGGGAUAAUCGAACUUAGGUAUCAGAGUUUUACCAUUCACCAAAACUUUCUUUUGCCACU